RNAcentral lists this ribosomal RNA (332 nucleotides) under uncultured fungus. Its description in RNAcentral is "eukaryotic LSU rRNA". The stretch from base 1 to 71 matches the Rfam family "5.8S ribosomal RNA", at positions 84 to 154 of the family's 154-position model. The record is from RNAcentral. Lineage: Eukaryota; Fungi.
GUGAGUCAUCGAAUCUUUGAACGCAUCUUGCACCUUUUGGUAUUCCGAGAGGCAUGUCUGUUUGAGUGUCGUCCUUACUCUCAAUCGAACGCUUGUUCGAAUUGGAACUUGGGUGAAGGGCCAGGCUUGUAAUGAGCCUGGCCACCCGGAAGUCAAAUUGUAAGCCAUUAGUAAUAACGACGGCUUGACCAAGUGUUGUAGGGUUCGCCUCACUUGGGACGUCGUUAUUACGAAGGCGUUAGUACUUGAGCCUUAGCUCAAUUGUAAUCGCAUUUUGACCUCAAAUUCAGGCAGGAUUACCCGCUGAACUUAAGCAUAUCAAUAAGCGGAGG